ACUUAAAAAUCUUGACAUGAUUCUGUAUUUACAGUUUAACGUGUCGCCUAACACGACAAACAGCAAAAUAAUCACUUUUAAUAGCUUUACUGAAACGACAGUACAGAUUUUGAUGCUUGAAAACGUGGUGAAUUUCGCUUGUUCUCUGGCGCUUUUCACAUUAUGUUUAUGUAUCGUUAGUUACUGGACGUUAUGCGACACAGAUUAAGAUAUUAAUUACAUUAUACAGAAGAUAAUAGCUUGGAGGUAAUUUAAUGUUGACCGCUGAACACAGUAAAGGUAAUUUUGGCAGACUUUGUCAAAUUAAAAACAUUAACUCAGCUACCUGUUUCUUCAUGUUAAAUGCUAUUAUUAGCGCGUUACCUGUUUUCACCUUCAUACUCUGGUUUCAUUCACAAACACAUCACAAUCAGUAACAUUAGUUCUAACAAAUCGUAAAUUAACCAAUAGUUUUAAAGCUCUUUCUCUUUUGUGGUGUUGCUUGUCAUUUAGCCAGAGGUGUCAGUGAUUCAGUAAAUCACUCAUGCUUUAAAUUUUAUGUGGAGAACUGUACCAUACCAUUUAUACAACCAUUUAUCCAAACCAAGUGAUACAGGAUCAAGCGAUUGGCCAUCACGAAAGUUUGCUUUAUGGCGACUGGCCUCUCUGUUGUCCUGGAUGUGAUGAAAUGCUGGGACUUCCUUUGUCUUUAUUGAAUUUUUUGUGAGCAGUAUCCAGCCGUACGGGCAGCACUAAGAGUCAGUUUCCACUCUGGAGGAAUCUGGAGUCUUUACCUCUGCACUAUAGGAACGCUGAAGAAGAUGAAAUGCUGAAAAACUUUGUCCUACAUCGACCCUCCAUGAAAAGAUAAAGAGUAAGGUGUCCUACAGAGAUCAUUGUCCUCUCUUCCUCAAAAGAGCCUAUCUCCGGUUGGUUUGGAACUGAUGGCACUGCAGCUUGAAGGACAUCAUCCUCACUACAGUCGGACGUGGCACAGGCUGUAGGGACGUCGUCAACACUUUGAG
Molecule: non-coding RNA, 1004 nt
Organism: Danio rerio (zebrafish)
Lineage: Eukaryota; Metazoa; Chordata; Actinopteri; Cypriniformes; Danionidae
Source: RefSeq, a predicted model, not a curated record